GAUGAACGCUGGCGGCGUGCCUAAUACAUGCAAGUCGAGCGAACGGACGAGAAGCUUGCUUCUCUGAUGUUAGCGGCGGACGGGUGAGUAACACGUGGAUAACCUACCUAUAAGACUGGGAUAACUUCGUGAAACCGGAGCUAAUACCGGAUAAUAUUAUGAACCGCAUGGUUCAAAAGUGAAAGACGGUCUUGCUGUCACUUAUAGAUGGAUCCGCGCUGCAUUAGCUAGUUGGUAAGGUAACGGCUUACCAAGGCAACGAUGCAUAGCCGACCUGAGAGGGUGAUCGGCCACACUGGAACUGAGACACGGUCCAGACUCCUACGGGAGGCAGCAGUAGGGAAUCUUCCGCAAUGGGCGAAAGCCUGACGGAGCAACGCCGCGUGAGUGAUGAAGGUCUUCGGAUCGUAAAACUCUGUUAUUAGGGAAGAACAUAUGUGUAAGUAACUGUGCACAUCUUGACGGUACCUAAUAAGAAAGCCACGGCUAACUACGU
RNAcentral lists this ribosomal RNA (496 nucleotides) under uncultured bacterium. RNAcentral's name for it is "partial 16S ribosomal RNA". It matches the Rfam family "Bacterial small subunit ribosomal RNA", at positions 28 to 506 of the family's 1533-position model. The record is from RNAcentral.